Molecule: non-coding RNA, 203 nt
Organism: Oryza punctata
Lineage: Eukaryota; Viridiplantae; Streptophyta; Magnoliopsida; Poales; Poaceae
Source: Rfam
UUUAAGCGUAACUAUAAAUUUCCAUGUCUAACUUUAAUCAUCCGUUUUGUUUGAAUUUUUUAUGAUUAGUAUUUUUAUUGUUACUAGAUGGUAAAACAUGAAUAAUAUUUUAUACGUGACUUGUAUUGUUUAAUUUUUUAAAAACUUUUUCAAAUAAGACGGACAAUUAAAAUUGGACACAGAAACUCAUGGUUGCGCCUAUA